AACGAACGCUGGCGGCAGGCCUAACACAUGCAAGUCGAGCGAAGUCUUCGGACUUAGCGGCGGACGGGUGAGUAACGCGUGGGAAUAUGCCCUUCUCUACGGAAUAGCCUCGGGAAACUGGGAGUAAUACCGUAUACGCCCUUUGGGGGAAAGAUUUAUCGGAGAAGGAUUAGCCCGCGUUGGAUUAGGUAGUUGGUGGGGUAAUGGCCUACCAAGCCGACGAUCCAUAGCUGGUUUGAGAGGAUGAUCAGCCACACUGGGACUGAGACACGGCCCAGACUCCUACGGGAGGCAGCAGUGGGGAAUCUUAGACAAUGGGCGCAAGCCUGAUCUAGCCAUGCCGCGUGAUUGAUGAAGGCCUCAGGGUUGUAAAGAUCUUUCAGCUGGGAAGAUAAUGACGGUACCAGCAGAAGAAGCCCCGGCUAACUCCGUGCCAGCAGCCGCCGUAA
Molecule: ribosomal RNA, 449 nt
Filed under: uncultured bacterium
Lineage: Bacteria
Description: partial 16S ribosomal RNA
Rfam family: Bacterial small subunit ribosomal RNA
Source: RNAcentral